AUUGAACGCUGGCGGCAUGCUUUACACAUGCAAGUCGGACGAGUGGCGAACGGGUGAGUAACAUAUCGGAACGUACCGAGUAAUGGGGGAUAACUAAUCGAAAGAUUAGCUAAUACCGCAUAUUAUUCGAGCGGCCGAUAUCUGAUUAGCUGGUUGGUGGGGUAAAGGUCUACCAAGGCGACGAUCAGUAGCGGGUCUGAGAGGAUGAUCCGCCACACUGGGACUGAGACACGGCCCAGACUCCUACGGGAGGCAGCAGUGGGGAAUUUUGGACAAUGGGGGAAACCCUGAUCCAGCCAUCCCGCGUGUGCGAUGAAGGCCUUCGGGUUGUAAAGCACUUUUGGCAGGAAAGCGGUACCUGCAGAAUAAGCACCGACUAACUACGUGCCAGCAGCCGCGGUAAUAC
RNAcentral lists this ribosomal RNA (406 nucleotides) under uncultured bacterium. RNAcentral's name for it is "partial 16S ribosomal RNA". It matches the Rfam family "Bacterial small subunit ribosomal RNA", at positions 30 to 526 of the family's 1533-position model. The record is from RNAcentral.